RNAcentral lists this long non-coding RNA (791 nucleotides) under Monodelphis domestica (gray short-tailed opossum). RNAcentral describes it as "lncRNA (ENSMODG00000033775.2)". Lineage: Eukaryota; Metazoa; Chordata; Mammalia; Didelphimorphia; Didelphidae. The record is from RNAcentral.
CACAGACUCUGAAAACAAGAGUUCUAAAAUUUUUUUAAGACUUUAAGUUUUAAUGACAAAACCCAUUUUAAUAUGUGAAUUGGGGUUUAUAUGUUAUAAAACUAGACUCCUCUCUUCAAGUUACACCUUGGAUAUCACCAAGCCUAUAGCUGAUAAUGGAAGCUGGGCUAGAAUGGAUUCCUUAAAUCAUUGUGCUAAUUGCCUAAGGCCAUAUUUGUUAGUAGAGGAAAAUGUGGUUCAAAGAGGACAACUGGCUUGCCAAAAGUCACCUGGGUAAUAAGUAUGAAAAAGGAGGAAAAGACCUAAUGAUCUCAUGACAUCUUUCUGCUGGAUUUGUCAUUGGGAUUACUGUGGCCUCUCUCAUCAUUCUUAUGAUUACAUGCAAGGUCAGAUCCUAUCACACAAAAGGACAACUCUGGAGUGCAGACAGUGGCAAUUGUUUUGCCUGCUAAAGGUGCUCCAGAAGCAAGUUCAUGUAAACAGCAUGGCAACCCUGACCAAACUGGAUUUAAUCACUGUCUGCUUGGUUUUCCAGAAUGAAGCUACUUUAAAAUGAGAACCUGGUAAGACAAUAGAAAAUUUAUUUCUGCCCACAGCAAUGGGAGCCACAGUAGCUCCUACUUCCCUCUACUGUUGUAAGGAUCAGAUGCAAUAAUAUUUUAAAGUAUUUCUCAAACUGCCUGGUACAUAAAUGCUUUUUCCCCUUCCUUUCAGCGGUUUUCAUAAAAAUGGAAGAUUAAUCCAUGGAACAUAAUCUCUGUAAAUAUUUCCAAACAAAUACUGGAUUAAUA